This 402-nucleotide ribosomal RNA is filed under the name uncultured bacterium. Its description in RNAcentral is "bacterial SSU rRNA". It matches the Rfam family "Bacterial small subunit ribosomal RNA", at positions 975 to 1375 of the family's 1533-position model. The record is from RNAcentral.
CAAGUCUUGACAUCCCUCUGAAACCUCUAGAGAUAGAGGCGGCCUUCGGGACAGAGGUGACAGGUGGUGCAUGGUUGUCGUCAGCUCGUGUCGUGAGAUGUUGGGUUAAGUCCCGCAACGAGCGCAACCCUUGAUUUUAGUUGCCAGCAGGUAAGGCUGGGCACUCUAGAAUGACUGCCGGUGACAAACCGGAGGAAGGCGGGGAUGACGUCAAAUCAUCAUGCCCCUUAUGGCUUGGGCUACACACGUACUACAAUGGCUGGUACAACGGGAAGCGAAGCCGCGAGGUGGAGCCAAUCCUAUAAAAGCCAGUCUCAGUUCGGAUUGCAGGCUGCAACUCGCCUGCAUGAAGUCGGAAUUGCUAGUAAUCGCGGAUCAGCAUGCCGCGGCGAAUACGUUCCC